UACCCCCCCGUCUAACCUUUGCCAUAUACCUUAAUCCCCUGCUCUUCUAUUAGUCCAAGUGUACUUAGGUCCCUUAAAUUCCAUGUCUAUCAUGUAGCAAUUAUUAACCCAAUUUUGAGAUCUCUAUGAGGUAGUGCAUUGGACUUGAGCCCCCCAACUUUUCCUCCUCCUUCAUAAUUAAGUUGAAGUCAACCACAAUGAUCCAUGCUUCCCCAGCUGAGUGCUUCAACCCUUCAAAUUCGUUUAGAAAACUUCUUGCUCUGGUCCCUUCUAGGCUCUCCAUACACGAAGUUAUUAAACCAAUACUCACCCUGAAUUCACCAUGAAUAAAAAGUAUGCACCCAGUAUUUUGAUUUCUUUAGGAUUCUAACCCAUAAGUCAUCCUUCCAAUAUAAUGUUAAACGGCCGCCCCACCCUAUAGGCUCAACAUACUCACCCUGGUCAAAACCUAACAUCCUUUUCUGUUUUUCCAACUAAUAUGUGGAAUUUUUUGUUUCUAAUAAAAACACUAUAAAAGGAUGAUGAACCUGCACCAAGCGCUUAAGGUGUCGAACUUUUAGGGAUCAUCCUAUACCCUAGUAGUUCCAAAAAAUUCCAUUCAUUGAAAAAUGAUGGCUUUUGGCGAGCCACCAGCGCCAUUUCCUUCCUCCCCCUCAAAGCUGCUUCCUUGCCCCUCCUGCACUGCUUCCUAGGUCCUAACCAUUCUCUUCUCACUAGCAUUUCCAUCCUGAAUAUCUUCAAUCCUUACGGACUUCAUUUGCCUGGCCAACUGUUUCAGCUUCUUCUUCUUAA
Molecule: long non-coding RNA, 792 nt
Filed under: Ricinus communis (castor bean)
Lineage: Eukaryota; Viridiplantae; Streptophyta; Magnoliopsida; Malpighiales; Euphorbiaceae
Description: long non-coding RNA (RCOM_LNC001134)
Source: RNAcentral